Cervus elaphus (red deer) is the source of this 1086-nucleotide long non-coding RNA. RefSeq lists it as uncharacterized. Lineage: Eukaryota; Metazoa; Chordata; Mammalia; Artiodactyla; Cervidae. The transcript has 5 exons. The record is from RefSeq and is a predicted model, not a curated record.
CCCGCCCCUCUCUCCCCGUACCCCGCCUGAGAAUAACUCCGUUCUGAGCUAGAGCUUGGCUAAUUUGAAGGCUUUUAGUAUAUAGAAUUUCUUAUUAUUCAUUUUUUCCUUAGGCUAACGCAAGUAAUUGUCGACCACAAAAAUGACGGCGGCGGCGGCUUUACCAUAGUAACAGGGAAGUCAUUUGAUACACAACCCUGGCACUUUAACUUUAGUUGUGCCCUGUUAGGGAAGGGAAACGCGUGGCCCCGCCCCAGCGGCGUGAGUUUUAUUCUUUUGCAAAAGCUGUGAAUGUUCGGACUGAGAGAAGAAAAGAGAGUCGAGGCAUCCUAGAGAAGGAGGGUUGCUCAGUGUCAAGGCGUCAACAUAGCUGAGGAUAUGGGGAAGUAAAAGCAGAACAAAUCCGCCUGCUUUCAUGUAGCCUGUGGGCUCCCUGUGCUUGGUGGUGAGGGGGCGGGGCGACGGAGGAUGUUGGCAGGCAGGGUAUCAGAAAACAUCGGAACUGGAAGUAUCUUUGAUCCCUGGUAUGCAGCAAGCAGCUAAGAACCAGGAUCUGGGAGACUUGCCUUGGCACGUGGAAUCCAGGGCCUAGCGAAAUGAAGGUGGAUAUCACUGGAUAGCACUUAAACUCCAACAGUAUGCUGCUAGGAUUCAAUCCAGGACACCACAUUACAUUGUUCCCAUAUCUCCUUUGGUUCCUGUUGACUGUGACAGUUUCUCAGAAUUUCUUUGUUUUGAUGACCUUGACAGUAUUUAAGAGUACUACUCAGCCAUGGGAGAACCAGCCAUUUCACCAAGGAGAGCCAGUUCCUUUUAGUAAAUUAAAUUGUCUUCCAGAAUAUGAAAGUUCUAGAUGACUGUAGUAGAACCAGUGGAAAUCCAUUUGGAGAGGAAUGAUUUUGAUGGGAUCCAGUACAUCUUCUCCUUGGAGAUCUUCACCGAGAGGUGCCGGGAGCUGGCACACAAGAUCCCACCCAUGACAAGGUCAUGAGGGAGAAAACCUGACAGGCAAGGUGGAUCAGGUUUUCAGGGGUUUCGAAAAGGCCAGCUCACGAGAUCCCACCCAUGACAAGGUCAUGAGGAGAA